CCUACGGGCGGCAGCAGUGGGGAAUAUUGGACAAUGGGGGGAACCCUGAUCCAGCCAUGCCGCGUGUGUGAAGAAGGCCCUCGGGUUGUAAAGCACUUUCAGUGAGGAAGAACGCCUGGUGGUUAAUACCCAUCAGGGAAGACAUCACUCACAGAAGAAGCACCGGCUAACUCCGUGCCAGCAGCCGCGGUAAUACGGAGGGUGCGAGCGUUAAUCGGAAUUACUGGGCGUAAAGCGCGCGUAGGUGGCUUGAUAAGCCGGUUGUGAAAGCCCCGGGCUCAACCUGGGAACGGCAUCCGGAACUGUCAAGCUAGAGUGCAGGAGAGGAAGGUAGAAUUCCCGGUGUAGCGGUGAAAUGCGUAGAGAUCGGGAGGAAUACCAGUGGCGAAGGCGGCCUUCUGGACUGACACUGACACUGAGGUGCGAAAGCGUGGGUAGCAAACAGGAUUAGAUACCCGUGUAGUC
This 465-nucleotide ribosomal RNA is filed under the name Vreelandella stevensii. RNAcentral's name for it is "partial 16S ribosomal RNA". It matches the Rfam family "Bacterial small subunit ribosomal RNA", at positions 338 to 795 of the family's 1533-position model. The record is from RNAcentral. Lineage: Bacteria; Pseudomonadati; Pseudomonadota; Gammaproteobacteria; Oceanospirillales; Halomonadaceae.